Molecule: transfer RNA, 63 nt
Filed under: Lordithon exoletus
Lineage: Eukaryota; Metazoa; Arthropoda; Insecta; Coleoptera; Staphylinidae
Description: tRNA-His
Source: RNAcentral
AUUUAAAUAGUUUAUUAAAAUAUUGAUUUGUGGAAUCAAAGUUAUGGGGCACCAUUUUAGAUA